This 253-nucleotide ribosomal RNA is filed under the name uncultured bacterium. RNAcentral's name for it is "partial 16S ribosomal RNA". It matches the Rfam family "Bacterial small subunit ribosomal RNA", at positions 524 to 776 of the family's 1533-position model. The record is from RNAcentral.
UACGUAGGGGGCAAGCGUUGUCCGGAAUCAUUGGGCGUAAAGAGCGUGUAGGCGGCCCGGUAAGUCCGCUGUGAAAGUCGAGGGCUCAACCCUCGAAUGCCGGCGGAUACUGUCGGGCUAGAGUCCGGAAGAGGCGAGUGGAAUUCCUGGUGUAGCGGUGAAAUGCGCAGAUAUCAGGAGGAACACCUACGGCGAAGGCAGGUCUCUGGGCCACUACUGACGCUGAGAAGCGAAAGCAUGGGGAGCGAACAGG